RNAcentral lists this ribosomal RNA (2808 nucleotides) under Thiomargarita namibiensis. RNAcentral describes it as "partial 16S ribosomal RNA". The stretch from base 1253 to 2803 matches the Rfam family "Bacterial small subunit ribosomal RNA". Lineage: Bacteria; Pseudomonadati; Pseudomonadota; Gammaproteobacteria; Thiotrichales; Thiotrichaceae. The record is from RNAcentral.
UUGGUGGGGUAACGGCCUACCAAGGCGACGAUCCGUAGCUGGUCUGAGAGGACGACCAGCCACACUGGGACUGAGACACGGCCCAGACUCCUACGGGAGGCAGCAGUAGGGAAUAUUGGACAAUGGGCGAAAGCCUGAUCCAGCAAUGCCGCGUGUGUGAAGAAGGCCUAUGGGUUGUAAAGCACUUUCAGUUGGGAAGAAAAGCUUUAGGUUAAUACCCUAGAGUCUUGACGUUACCAAUAGAAGAAGCACCGGCUAACUCUGUGCCAGCAGCCGCGGUAAGACAGAGGGUGCGAGCGUUAAUCGGAAUUACUGGGCGUAAAGCGUACGUAGGUGGUUGAGUAAGUCGGAUGUGAAAGCCCAAGGCUUAACCUUGGAACUGCAUUCGAUACUGCUCAACUAGAGUAUAGUAGAGGGAAGCGGAAUUUCUAGUGUAGCGGUGAAAUGCGUAGAUAUUAGAAAGAACACCAGUGGCGAAGGCGGCUUCCUGGACUAAUACUGACACUGAGGUACGAAAGCGUGGGGAGCAAACAGGAUUAGAUACUACACUAAGUGUCCCCCAGACUGGUGACAGUCUGGUGUGCAUCCAGCUAUAUCGGUGAAACCCCAUUGGGGUAAUACCGAGGGAAGCUAUAUUAUAUAUAUAUUAAUAAAUAGCCCCGUAGAGACUAUGUAGGUAAGGAGAUAGAAGAUGAUAAAAUCAAAAUCAUCUUUGUCGAGUCGAUGUAAAGAGAUAAUCCUUGGUUCUGUUCUGGGAGAUGGGUCAAUAAAGAUACAUAAAGGCUAUAAGAAUGCUCGCUUUUCGUUUCGACAUUCGGUAAAAUCGAGUGAAUAUUUUUACUGGAAAGUAAAAGAAAUAGAAGAGUUAUCAAGCGAUAACUGUGUGUGGAAACAAUUGAAGAGUGGCUCUUAUGCUGAAGAAAUGCUUCGAUAUCAAAGUCGAGCACUUGAAGAAUUGACCCAAAUUUAUGAAUUGGUUCAUCGUCAUCAUAAAUUAAAAAUACGAAGAAAAUGGUUGAAUAGACUUAGUCCACUUUCUUUAUGUGUAUGGUGGUUAGAUGAUGGUUCAUUGGUUGCAAAUUGCCGUCAAGGGGUGAUAUGUACAGACUGCUUUUCUUAUGACGAGUUAUUACUCGUAGUCAAAUAUUUUAGGAAAGUAUGGAAUUUAUACCCUACCAUUGGCAAAGUAGCAAAAAGUGGACCCCGUUCUGAACAAUACCGAUUGUGGUAUCGUUCCAGAGAAGAGUUAAAAAAGUUUUUAAGGAUUAUUUUGCCUUAUGUGCCAGUAACAUCUAUGUUAUAUAAGGUACUUAUUCUUUACAAAGACCCAGAACUGCAACAACGCUGGAUCUCUGAAGUAUGUGAAUUAUCAAAAUUUGGGCAAGAAGAAAUUAUGACUUGUCUAAAUGAGCGUAAGAAAAAAAUUGCAUACUAUAAUUAAAGUUAUAGAAUUAUCAGAGAAUGAUAUAGUCCAAGCCUUAUGGUAACAUGAGGGCACUUGACCCUGGUAGUCCACGCCCUAAACGAUGAGAACUAGAUGUUGGGGGAAAUUGAUCCCUUAGUAUCGCAGCUAACGCGAUAAGUUCUCCGCCUGGGGAGUACGGCCGCAAGGUUAAAACUCAAAUGAAUUGACGGGGGCCCGCACAAGCGGUGGAGCAUGUGGUUCAAUUCGAUGCAACGCGAAGAACCUUACCUGGCCUUGACAUCCUCGGAACCUCGCAGAAAUGUGGGGGUGCCUUUUGGAACCGAGAGACAGGUGCUGCAUGGCUGUCGUCAGCUCGUGUCGUAAAUAACUUGCGACCUAUAGAAGCGAUUCUAUAGACAAAUCCAGCUUAUAACGGUGAAACCCUAACAGAUUAAUGCUGAGGGCAAUACCGUGGGAAGUUCAUGAAAAUUCAUGUAACCCCGUAACGACUGAGGCGUAAUGCCGAGAUAACAAUCGAUCCAUUUUAGUAAAUUUAUGAUUGUUAUAACACGCUGGCUCUUACUGACCAUCAGUAAGAUGAAGAUAUAGUCUAAACCCUUAAGAAAUUUUGGGAGUUAUUUGGAGAUGUUGGGUUAAGUCCCGCAACGAGCGCAACCCUUGUCUCUAGUUGCCAGCGAUUAGGUCGGGAACUCUAGAGAGACUGCCGGUGACAAACCGGAGGAAGGUGGGGAUGACGUCAAGUCAUCAUGGCCCUUACGGCCAGGGCUACACACGUGCUACAAUGGGUAGUACAGAGGGUUGCAAACCCGCGAGGGGGAGCCAAUCUCACAAAACUACUCGUAGUCCGGAUUGGAGUCUGCAACUCGACUCCAUGAAGUCGGAAUCGCUAGUAAUCGCGGAUCAGCAUGUCGCGGUGAAUACGUUCCCGGGCCUUGUACACACCGCCCGUCACACCAUGGGAGUGGGCUGUACCAGAAGUAGGUAGUCUAACCACCUUUCGGGGUGGAGGGCGCUUACCACGGUAUGGUCCGUAACUGGGGUGAAGUUUCACGGCUUCCUUCACGAGUAAUCGUGUUGUAAAAUCCAACUGUAUCGGUGAACCCCUAACCAUUUUAAUUUUAUUGUUACAAUUCCCCAUGAGGGGUAUAAAAAGAAAUGGUGGGCAACGCCGAGGGAAGUUAGGCUAGUCAGUCAAACUGAUAAAAAGCUUACUAAAUCAUAUUAUGACAUGUAAGUUGCCUUAACCCCGUAGAGGCCAUACGUUGGCUCCUUUGAAAAAAGGAUGAAGACAUGGUCCGACACCCUUAGUAAUAAGGGCUAAAACAGUAAGCGUAACAAGGUAGCCGUAGGGGAACCUGCGGCUGGAUCACCUCCUUUAAAGA